RNAcentral lists this ribosomal RNA (253 nucleotides) under uncultured bacterium. RNAcentral's name for it is "partial 16S ribosomal RNA". It matches the Rfam family "Bacterial small subunit ribosomal RNA", at positions 524 to 776 of the family's 1533-position model. The record is from RNAcentral.
UACGGGGGGGGCAAGCGUUGUUCGGAAUUACUGGGCGUAAAGGGCUCGUAGGCGGCCAACUAAGUCAGACGUGAAAUCCCUAGGCUCAACCUAGGAACUGCGUCUGAUACUGGAUGGCUUGAAUCCGGGAGAGGGAUGCAGAAUUCCAGGUGUAGCGGUGAAAUGCGUAGAUAUCUGGAGGAAUACCGGUGGCGAAGGCGGCAUCCUGGACCGGCAUUGACGCUGAGGAGCGAAAGCCAGGGAAGCAAACGGG